AGUUCGGAUUGCAGUCUGCAACUCGACUGCAUGAAGCCGGAAUCGCUAGUAAUCGCGGAUCAGAAUGCCGCGGUGAAUACGUUCCCGGGUCUUGUACACACCGCCCGUCACACCAUGGGAGUCGGAAAUGCCCGAAGCCGGUGGCCUAACCGAUAAGGGAGGAGCCGUCGAAGGCAGGUCUGAUGACUGGGGUGAAGUCGUAACAAGGUACC
This 212-nucleotide ribosomal RNA is filed under the name uncultured bacterium. Its description in RNAcentral is "partial 16S ribosomal RNA". It matches the Rfam family "Bacterial small subunit ribosomal RNA", at positions 1290 to 1500 of the family's 1533-position model. The record is from RNAcentral.